CCCAGGUUUGUUUUGCAUGUUAACUCUGUGUUAACGCUGCCCCUAAGUGGUUAAGUUGGUUUAUUGCAAGUUAAUUAGCCCUCAUUUCAGGCAGUUAUUUAUUUAUAUGUCAAAGGCUGUCAUGUUUUUCCUCUUUCGGCUUCGUGAGUAGGCCUCGCGUCUCUUUCUAGUGUGUGUUUGCAUCCUGCUCUGUGUGGGUUUCGCACAACCACAACAUUUACAGUCAGCUCGGCUCGGAAAAUAUGCAUAGAGGGAAACAUGGAUGCCUACUACAUGUUUAUUGCUCGAUCCAAGAGAGGCUGUGAUCCUCUUAGCAGGCUCCUCUCCCCCAGCUCGUUUUAAUUAGCAUUUCAAGCGCUGCUCGGUACAGCAAGCUGGUGAGGCCUCAAGUUCUGGUGGGCUGCUUUUCGCCUCUUUGCCCCUGAAUUAAUGGGCUACCUCGCAGCUGUUUGGCGCCUGGGCACUGCCUGCCCUUUUGCAAGACGUGUUGAUGCUUCUCCUCGUGCUCCCAUCCCUCCUGUUAGAGGGGUGCUGCUGGAGGACAGGCUCUAAAAUUCCUGUCUAAGACACCGCUAAAAACGAAGAGCAGUGAAUCUUCAGGAGGGUCUCCAGCCUUCGGCACAGAGCACAGGCGGCUUUUCCUUCGUGCCCUUCACCUUGAACGAGCGACAUUUGUCUCCUGACCCCUUUGCUCGUGAGCAUGCAGACCGGAGUCCGGGGAGGCGUCUCGCUGCCUCCAGCUCUGUGCAUCCACACGUUACCUCCUCGCAGCGCAUCCCAGCGCCGGGGCUCGGAGGGAGAUGUCCAGCCCUUCAGAGCUGGUGCUGGGGGGCUGGAGGGGGGCGAGCAGGCAUCCUGCCUUCCCCAGUGCCCUGCAGGAGCUGCUCAGGGUGGAGUGCUCUGCUCUGCAGAGGAGCGAGGGCUGCCUUCAUCCCAGCCUUGCACAGCACGGUUGGACACAGCAUUAAGGAGUCCAGGCACUGGGAUGCGAAAUCGGGCGCUACGGGCAGUGGGAGAUGAGCUCGGUCAUCCGAAAAAACCUUCAGGAGGGCAUCGCCGAGGGCAGCCCUACAGGAUCCCUGCUCCUCUGCUUCCUAAAAGCCUGCCACCACGUCUCUGCAGGGCUGUGUUUCUGAUCGGGGCUGGGAAAGUCUACGUGAAAGCUCAGGGACUACCUUAAAUACCCCUAACCAAGCCUUCUUAAAACUCCUAUUAAAAUACAAACACCGCAGUCAAGACGGCAGGCUGGAGAUCUGCCCAGUGGCCAAAUAAAUCAAAAUAUUACACUGUUUGCAAGCGCCCAUUAAAAUCUGACAACUGGCUAGUUCCCAAGGCAGCGUGGAUCUGAAAGA
Anas platyrhynchos (mallard) is the source of this 1352-nucleotide non-coding RNA. NCBI's taxonomy places the organism in Eukaryota, Metazoa, Chordata, Aves, Anseriformes, Anatidae. The record is from RefSeq and is a predicted model, not a curated record.